Molecule: transfer RNA, 75 nt
Filed under: Candidatus Peribacteraceae bacterium
Lineage: Bacteria; Candidatus Peregrinibacteriota; Candidatus Peribacteria; Candidatus Peribacterales
Description: tRNA-Gly
Rfam family: tRNA
About the family: Transfer RNA (tRNA) molecules are approximately 80 nucleotides in length. Their secondary structure includes four short double-helical elements and three loops (D, anti-codon, and T loops).
Source: RNAcentral
GCGGGCGUCGUAUAAUGGUUAUUAUCCCAGCCUUCCAAGCUGAUGAUGGCGGUUCGAUUCCGCUCGCCCGCUCCA